GUUUCAGCCGCCGCGGUAAUACGGAGGUUGCAAGCGUUAUCCGGAUUUAUUGGGUUUAAAGGGUGCGUAGGCGGACCUAUAAGUCAGCGGUGAAAGACUGUCGCUUAACGAUAGCAUUGCCGUUGAUACUGUAGAUCUUGAGUACAUUUGAGGUGGGCGGAAUGUGUAGUGUAGCGGUGAAAUGCUUAGAUAUUACACAGAACACCAAUUGCGAAGGCAGCUCACUAAACUGUAACUGACGCUGAGGCACGAAAGCGUGGGGAUCAAACAGGAUUAGAAACCCCUGUAGUCC
RNAcentral lists this ribosomal RNA (292 nucleotides) under uncultured bacterium. RNAcentral's name for it is "partial 16S ribosomal RNA". It matches the Rfam family "Bacterial small subunit ribosomal RNA", at positions 505 to 796 of the family's 1533-position model. The record is from RNAcentral.